GUGAGGAAUUUUGCGCAAUGGCCGCAAGGCUGACGCAGCAACGCCGCGUGGGUGAUGAAGGCCUUCGGGUCGUAAAGCCCUGUCAGGUGGGAAGAAAGGCCUGGAGAGGAAAGGUUUCAGGUUUGACGGUACCACCAGAGGAAGCACCGGCUAACUCCGUGCCAGCAGCCGCGGUAAUACGGAGGGUGCGAGCGUUAUUCGGAAUUACUGGGCGUAAAGCGCGUGUAGGCGGGGGGACAAGUCUGAUGUGAAAGCCCUGGGCUUAACCUGGGAAGCGCAUUGGAAACUGUUUUUCUUGAGUACUGGAGAGGAAGGGGGAAUUCCCGGUGUAGAGGUGAAAUUCGUAGAGAUCGGGAGGAAUACCAGUGGCGUAGGCGCCCUUCUGGACGGUAACUGACGCUGAGACGCGAAAGCGUGGGGAGCAAACAGGAUUAGAUACCCUGGUAGUCC
This 450-nucleotide ribosomal RNA is filed under the name uncultured bacterium. RNAcentral describes it as "partial 16S ribosomal RNA". It matches the Rfam family "Bacterial small subunit ribosomal RNA", at positions 354 to 796 of the family's 1533-position model. The record is from RNAcentral.